Molecule: ribosomal RNA, 253 nt
Filed under: uncultured bacterium
Lineage: Bacteria
Description: partial 16S ribosomal RNA
Rfam family: Bacterial small subunit ribosomal RNA
Source: RNAcentral
UACGAAGGGGGCUAGCGUUGCUCGGAUUGACUGGGCGUAAAGGGCGCGUAGGCGGUUCCUUAAGUUUGCUGUGAAAUCUCCCGGCUUAACCGGGAGGGUGCGGUGAAUACUGAGGGACUAGAGUACGGGAGAGGAAAGUGGAAUUCCUGGUGUAGCGGUGAAAUGCGCAGAUAUCAGGAGGAACACCGGUGGCGAAGGCGGGUCUCUGGGCCGUAACUGACGCUGAGGAGCGAAAGCAUGGGGAGCGAACAGG